RNAcentral lists this long non-coding RNA (277 nucleotides) under Homo sapiens (human). RNAcentral describes it as "non-protein coding lnc-NCOA3-4:8". The record is from RNAcentral. Lineage: Eukaryota; Metazoa; Chordata; Mammalia; Primates; Hominidae.
CCUCCUCCCAGCCCACAGCCUCUUGAACUCCACGGAGACCACCCCCAUGUGAGGCUGGGAAGGGAAACCUGCCUUUGUAAGUGGAAUCAGGUGAAAUCGGGCUGUGACUGUGUCAGUCAGCAGAGUAAAGCAGUUUCAACUGCAUUUGAUGUUUUGGUCACCCUACCUAAGAUGCAGCUUCUAAGAGGAGAGCACAGAUUGGCCAGUACGGGACUUGUCACCUUGAUUGGCAGGUCCUCCAGACUGUAUCCAAGGCGGCAAGCUUUGUUCCCCCAAA